Long non-coding RNA from Dicentrarchus labrax (European seabass), 1689 nucleotides. RefSeq lists it as uncharacterized. The transcript has 3 exons. NCBI's taxonomy places the organism in Eukaryota, Metazoa, Chordata, Actinopteri, Moronidae. The record is from RefSeq and is a predicted model, not a curated record.
GACAAGCUGCUGGAAGCCUUUUUUCCACACUGUUGGACUCAACUUUUUAGCUCCACUAGAGGGCGACAUUAUCAAGUAGGCGGUGCACUACUUCUGCACUGUGUUCAACCAUUCUGUCAAUAAUAACUGCUGCUGUGAAGAGAACAAUUGUCACACUGAAUGUUGAACAUCAGCUAGUUUCUCCUGUUGAUUUAAACCUUGUUGUAGAGAUGGAACAUUGGCUGUGGAUUAUUCUUGCUGCUCUUUUCUUUGGACUAAUAGCUGGAGACACAAUCUCUCCUGUAGGAGAUAAAGUCAGUGGAAGAGAAGGAGAAUCUGUCACACUCAAAUGUCGAUAUCAGACAACUGUCAGCUAUAUUUGGCUUUACUGGUACAGACAUUCUGACCUUCAGGCUCCUCAGUUUAUACUCUUGAAAGGAGCAAAAGGAUAUUCAGCUGAAUACAUUCCAGAUAAACGAUAUGAAUCUGAAACAACAGGUUCAUCAACUGACCUGACCAUCAGAAAACUAACCCUGGCAGACACAGCUCUCUACUACUGUGCUCUAGAAACACAGUGAUACAAAGUGUAGAAGAGGCUGUACAAAAACCUGAACACAGAUAUCUGACUACUCUUCAAAGAGGAGGGAAGUGGUAUUCAAACCACAGCUUCAUAUCAGAUGGAUUCUGCUAAUUCCUGUUUUAUCAGAGUCACUGUGGUUACAGCUGCUAAUGAAACACUGUGGGAGGAUUCACAUGAGCAGCAAAUCCACAUCAAUGACAAACCAACUGGAUGAUGCUUCAAACACAAGACCAUUUUACAGACUAAAAGACUUUUCAACGAUUAAAGUUUUGUUAGUUGCAGCUUUAAUCAUGUUUUCUGUUCCAAGAUUUCUUUAAACAUGUUUUACACUCACAACAGUUAGAAUGUCUGUACAGUGUGCAGUUUGGAUGUUACAGGAAGUUGUUUCUCUACAGAUGAUUCAGUUGAGUUUUCUGCAGAUUCCUCCUUCAGUCUGACCUUCUUGGAUGAUGAGGAUUUCAGCAUCACUGUCAUUUCUAAAGCUUCCAUCAGCCUGAAUGCAAACAGACCACAGCAAGAGGAGGAGCUACACAAUUCAUUUUGGAAGUGAAGAGCUGCUGUGUUCUCUCUGUUGUUCAUUCAGUACAAGUGGAAAUAAUGCAGCUCUCUUUAGUUUGGAUGAUGAUCUUCAUCUUUCAUACUGGAUCCUCUGAGGAUUUAGUGAAACCAUUUAAAGAUGUAAUGCUGGCUUUGGAAGGAGACACUGUGACUCUCUCCUGCAAAUAUUCAGAUUCUGUCAGCAACGUUUUCUGGUAUCAACAGAAGUCCAGUUCACCUCCACAGCUUCUCAUCAUGGAAUAUUCAGAGAAAAUAGCAAGGUUGUCUUUAACACAUGACAAAAAUUCAAAGGAGUUUCAUCUGGAGAUCUCCUCUGCUGCAGUGACAGACUCUGCUGUGUACUACUGUGCUGUGAAGCCCACAGUGACAGGAAACACCAAAACUCUGUACAAAAACCUGACAGCUCCUCACUGAAGAUUUACACACUCCAGCUUCUGCUUUUACUGAACAACAGCCCCAUCAAGUGGACACUGAUAAUAAGAUCCAGUGAUAAAAUAAAUAGUUAUUCAGUUAACAGUCUGUCUUAAAACAACAUUCACAUGUUCAUAUGUACAUUAAAACAUGAUUCUUUC